CAAGACCUCGCGCUCUUGGAGCGGCCGAUGUCGGAUUAGCUAGUUGGUGAGGUAAAAGCUCACCAAGGCGACGAUCCGUAGCAGGUCUGAGAGGAUGAUCUGCCACACUGGGACUGAGACACGGCCCAGACUCCUACGGGAGGCAGCAGUGGGGAAUUUUGGACAAUGGGGGCAACCCUGAUCCAGCCAUGCCGCGUGAGUGAAGAAGGCCUUCGGGUUGUAAAGCUCUUUCGGCGGGGAAGAAAUGGCAACGGCUAAUAUCCGUUGUUGAUGACGGUACCCGCAUAAGAAGCACCGGCUAACUACGUGCCAGCAGCCGCGGUAAUACGUAGGGUGCGAGCGUUAAUCGGAAUUACUGGGCGUAAAGCGUGCGCAGGCGGUUUCGUAAGACAGACGUGAAAUCCCCGGGCUCAACCUGGGAACU
RNAcentral lists this ribosomal RNA (424 nucleotides) under uncultured bacterium. Its description in RNAcentral is "bacterial SSU rRNA". It matches the Rfam family "Bacterial small subunit ribosomal RNA", at positions 202 to 622 of the family's 1533-position model. The record is from RNAcentral.